This 73-nucleotide transfer RNA is filed under the name Symplocastrum torsivum CPER-KK1. RNAcentral's name for it is "Phormidiaceae cyanobacterium CPER-KK1 tRNA". It matches the Rfam family "tRNA". From Rfam's summary of the family: Transfer RNA (tRNA) molecules are approximately 80 nucleotides in length. RNAcentral also lists the same sequence under 7 other names. Lineage: Bacteria; Bacillati; Cyanobacteriota; Cyanophyceae; Oscillatoriales; Microcoleaceae. The record is from Rfam by way of RNAcentral.
GGGAGUGUAGCUCAAUGGAUAGAGCAAGGAGCUUCUACCUCCGAGGUUGUGGGUUCAAGUCCUACCACUCCUG